UCCUGCUCUGGGACCCCGCCGGCCCCGCCCCCGAGCCCGGCCCCGCCCCCUGCGGAGACCACGCCCCUCCGGAGGACCCCGCCCCCUCGGGAGGCUCCGCCCCCUUCCGGCCCUGCAGCUCCGGGCUGGGCACGGACUCGGACUCGGAGCAGGAGCAGGAGGAGGAGGAGGAGGAGGAGGGGGACGAAGGCCCCGGGGGGUCCCCGCAGGACCCUGGGGACACCGGGGACCCCCCCGGGCCCCCCCGGAGCGGCGGCGCCAUCCUGGUCACCGUGCCCUGGGGGCGCGUCACCGCCGACUGUCCCCCCGAGGGGGGGGUCCCCGGCUCGCGGCUGGAGCUGGAGCUGGGGGAGGGGCGGCUCUGUGUCCUCCCCCGCCCGGGGGGGCUCCGGGGGCUCUCCCGCGCCUGCGCCGACGCCCGGAGCCUGCGGCUGCUGCACGGUACCCCAAAAACCGGGGGGACCCCGAAACCGGGGGGACCCCAGAACGGGACCCCGAAACCGGGGGGACCCCGAAACC
Long non-coding RNA from Passer montanus (Eurasian tree sparrow), 519 nucleotides. RefSeq lists it as uncharacterized. The transcript has 3 exons. The record is from RefSeq and is a predicted model, not a curated record. Lineage: Eukaryota; Metazoa; Chordata; Aves; Passeriformes; Passeridae.